CGAGGUGUGAGCAAACUGCUUAGGUCGCGAAGCAGGGAAGGCGCUCCGUGCUGCCCUAACCUGUUUGCUCCAGGGAGCAGCCACUGGAGUGGUUUAAGGUACUUGGCGAGGAGUGAAAGAGUUGGAGGAAAGCCCCCAAUGGCUAGGACUGCAGGCUGCACACCAUGCCUGGCUGAUUAUUUCUGAUAGAAGAAAACCCUCCCAGAAAUGCUGCAGACUGGCCCGGCUGACUGCAGGAACCGGGACUGCACUAAGAUGGAAACGGGAAAGAGCCUCGGUCAGCUGAGCUCAGCUCUAACUCCCAGGAGGAGACCACCUGAUUUUCGUGAAGGACCUAGAUACACCAAGCACCAAGCAGCACCGAAUGGCUCAAGGCUAGGCCCAAACAAAGCAGUCAGACCAGCGCCUCAGACUCCUUCCUUCUAAAGGUCACCUCGAUUCCCGACAGCACUCCUGGAGGCUGGGUCCCUCCUGAAGGUCACGCCUAGCCUGACCCCCUCAUCGGUCCAUGCCCCUCACGGAAAAUCGGGGUUCCAUCUGCACACCGCUGCUCCCCGCGUGUCCAUAUUGGGUGAGCACAAUUCUUCCUACCUGAAAGUGUGAGCCAGCCCUUUAGCCUACCAAGUACACCGUUAUCCUUUUCCUCAAAAAACUUUACUUUGAAAACUUUCCACCUGCAGGGCCGGGGAUUUAGCUCAGUGGCUUCGCCACCUGCUGCGCAAGCGCAAGGAUCUGAGUUCGAU
RNAcentral lists this long non-coding RNA (743 nucleotides) under Heterocephalus glaber (naked mole-rat). Its description in RNAcentral is "lncRNA (ENSHGLG00000026036.2)". Lineage: Eukaryota; Metazoa; Chordata; Mammalia; Rodentia; Bathyergidae. The record is from RNAcentral.